Molecule: unclassified non-coding RNA, 368 nt
Filed under: Hevea brasiliensis (rubber tree)
Lineage: Eukaryota; Viridiplantae; Streptophyta; Magnoliopsida; Malpighiales; Euphorbiaceae
Source: RNAcentral
GCCAGCGUUCAGGUAAUAAAAAUUGAUUCUCUCAAAAUAAGCCUCGGUUUCUUUCCUUUUUCUUUUUUCGUUUUUCUUUCUAAAAACAUGUUUAAAAAUUGUACUCUCAGAAGCUUCUGGUUUGGUUCAGUGGGUCAUAAUCAUAAGCAUCACCAGCUUUGACAAAUCGCCCCUUCACGCGUCUUCUUACAUCAGCCCUUGCUUUGCGGGAGGCAUACCUCACUCUCUUCUCAAACAUGCGUGUCUUCUUCUUUUCCUUGUAUCGCAUUACAGCAUUACUUCGGUUAGAUGAUGGGCAUGAACUCUCCGGGCAUGGGGGACACCAUGGAGGUUCUCCCAUGAAAAGCAUUGAAAAAGCUCCACAAUCU